This 427-nucleotide ribosomal RNA is filed under the name uncultured bacterium. RNAcentral describes it as "partial 16S ribosomal RNA". It matches the Rfam family "Bacterial small subunit ribosomal RNA", at positions 355 to 774 of the family's 1533-position model. The record is from RNAcentral.
UGGGGAAUAUUGCACAAUGGGCGCAAGCCUGAUGCAGCCAUGCCGCGUGUGUGAAGAAGGCCUUCGGGUUGUAAAGCACUUUCAGCGAGGAGGAAGGGUAGUGUGUUAAUAGCACAUUGCAUUGACGUUACUCGCAGAAGAAGCACCGGCUAACUCCGUGCCAGCAGCCGCGGUAAUACGGAGGGUGCAAGCGUUAAUCGGAAUUACUGGGCGUAAAGCGCACGCAGGCGGUUUGUUAAGUCAGAUGUGAAAUCCCCGCGCUUAACGUGGGAACUGCAUUUGAAACUGGCAAGCUAGAGUCUUGUAGAGGGGGGUAGAAUUCCAGGUGUAGCGGUGAAAUGCGUAGAGAUCUGGAGGAAUACCGGUGGCGAAGGCGGCCCCCUGAACAAAGACUGACGCUCAGGUGCGAAAGCGUGGGGAGCAAACA